UCCAAAGGCUGAUGAUUUUCAUCUGGUUAGCUACUAACCUAUAACUGGAGCAAGAUUAAUGAGUGCUAGGCCAUGUCCACAGGCAAGGAGCCUCACACUACACCUAGGGUCCCUGCUAAUCAGAUCUGGGUCUACAGUUAUGCCUAGGAUUAUAGAUCCUUAGUAACCAUAUGCUGUCACAAUGAGGCAGGGACUAAACUUAACGGUUGCCAGGUCGCCUAAUGCAACUAAAUUUUUGGCUUGGUGAAUAUAUAUAUCAUCAAGUUUGCCAAGCUGGCGACAAACAAUAUUUUGCAUUGAAUCCCAUGUCUAUCCUUUCCCCACUUUAUACUUUGGUCAAUGAGGAAAAUGACAGCUUAAGCAAUAUUGAUAGACAGAUGCCAAGUGAUAACUUUUGAGACCUACAUGACAUGUAAGCACACAGGAGACGAUGAAUGCCAAGUGACGCCCCUAACACAUUCUAUGUAAUCCUGGAUACUACUAGUGGUGAAUUUCGUAAUGGUCAUUUAUUUAUAAAACACCACUGGGUUGCUGAGAAAUGUUCCUACAUUCAGUGAAAUAUUGAAGGUGGUAGAUUGGGGUGGAUGGUGGGUGAAAUUGAAAACUUAUUCCUAUCAUAGAGUAAACGUCCUUUGUAUUCAACAGCCAAAUCAAAAGUGAGAAGCUGGCAGCCUGCAAUUGUUACAAUUUAUACUUUUGUCCUGGAGGAAAAUGACAGCUUAAGUAAUAUUGAUAAAUGGAUGCCAAGUGGCGACUUGAGACCUACAUGUGACAUGUAAGCACAUAGGAGAAAAUGAAUGCCAACUGCCAUUUUGAAUUUGAAAGAUAGCUAAAUCAAAACAAAAUCUUGUUAAGUACACCAAAUCAUUCAAAUAUGUUGAAUUUUGUGUUUCCAGCAUCAAAUCCACUGUGGGUUGUGUAAUACUUGAAAAUAUUUUAAAAUGUAUGACAGCCAUAUUGAAAUAAGCCCCA
RNAcentral lists this long non-coding RNA (972 nucleotides) under Mytilus galloprovincialis (Mediterranean mussel). Lineage: Eukaryota; Metazoa; Mollusca; Bivalvia; Mytilida; Mytilidae. The record is from RNAcentral.